This 161-nucleotide long non-coding RNA is filed under the name Phascolarctos cinereus (koala). RNAcentral's name for it is "lncRNA (ENSPCIG00000032842.1)". The record is from RNAcentral. Lineage: Eukaryota; Metazoa; Chordata; Mammalia; Diprotodontia; Phascolarctidae.
GGUUUAUGUUACCCCUUGUUUUCCUCUCCAAAGCCAGUGGGAAAAAAAAAAAUGAUUUAACUCCCAUAGUCUACAACACGGGCGCUAACAGCAUUCAGAACGCGCAGACCCAUCCAGGUGUGGGCGACGCACCUGGAAAAUGCGAUGGACUGUACCACUGA